This 497-nucleotide ribosomal RNA is filed under the name uncultured bacterium. Its description in RNAcentral is "partial 16S ribosomal RNA". It matches the Rfam family "Bacterial small subunit ribosomal RNA", at positions 28 to 507 of the family's 1533-position model. The record is from RNAcentral.
GAUGAACGCUGGCGGCGUGCCUAAUACAUGCAAGUCGAGCGAACGGACGAGAAGCUUGCUUCUCUGAUGUUAGCGGCGGACGGGUGAGUAACACGUGGAUAACCUACCUAUAAGACUGGGAUAACUUCGGGAAACCGUAGCUAAUACCGGAUAAUAUUUUGAACCGCAUGGCUCAAUAGUGAAAGACGGUCUUGCUGUCACUUAUAGAUGGAUCCGCGCUGCAUUAGCUAGUUGGUAAGGUAACGGCUUACCAAGGCAACGAUGCAUAGCCGACCUGAGAGGGUGAUCGGCCACACUGGAACUGAGACACGGUCCAGACUCCUACGGGAGGCAGCAGUAGGGAAUCUUCCGCAAUGGGCGAAAGCCUGACGGAGCAACGCCGCGUGAGUGAUGAAGGUCUUCGGAUCGUAAAACUCUGUUAUUAGGGAAGAACAUAUGUGUAAGUAACUGUGCACAUCUUGACGGUACCUAAUCAGAAAGCCACGGCUAACUACGUG